Molecule: ribosomal RNA, 460 nt
Filed under: uncultured bacterium
Lineage: Bacteria
Description: partial 16S ribosomal RNA
Rfam family: Bacterial small subunit ribosomal RNA
Source: RNAcentral
CCUACGGGAGACAGCAGUGAGGACUAUUGGUCAAUGGGCGCGAGCCUGAACCAGCCAAGUCGCGUGAGGGAGGACGGCCCUACGGGUUGUAAACCUCUUUUGCCGGGGAGCAACGGGCGUCACGUGUGGCGCCACUGAGAGUACCCGGAGAAAAAGCAUCGGCUAACUCCGUGCCAGCAGCCGCGGUAAUACGGAGGAUGCGAGCGUUAUCCGGAUUCAUUGGGUUUAAAGGGUGCGCAGGCGGGCCUUUAAGCCGGCGGUGAAAUCGCGGGGCUCAACCCCGCCGAGCCGUCGGAACUGGGGGCCUUGAGUGCGGCGGAGGCAUGCGGAAUGCGCGGUGUAGCGGUGAAAUGCAUAGAUAUCGCGCAGAACCCCGAUUGCGAAGGCAGCGUGCCGUGCCGCCACUGACGCUGAGGCACGAAAGCGCGGGGAUCGAACAGGAUUAGAUACCCUGGUAGUC